This 465-nucleotide ribosomal RNA is filed under the name Vreelandella stevensii. Its description in RNAcentral is "partial 16S ribosomal RNA". It matches the Rfam family "Bacterial small subunit ribosomal RNA", at positions 338 to 795 of the family's 1533-position model. Lineage: Bacteria; Pseudomonadati; Pseudomonadota; Gammaproteobacteria; Oceanospirillales; Halomonadaceae. The record is from RNAcentral.
CCUACGGGAGGCAGCAGUGGGGAAUAUUGGACAAUGGGGGCAACCCUGAUCCAGCCAUGCCGCGUGUGUGAAGAAGGCCCUCGGGUUGUAAAGCACUUUCAGUGAGGAAGAACGCCUGGUGGUUAAUACCCAUCAGGAAAGACAUCACUCACAGAAGAAGCACCGGCUAACUCCGUGCCAGCAGCCGCGGUAAUACGGAGGGUGCGAGCGUUAAUCGGAAUUACUGGGCGUAAAGCGCGCGUAGGUGGCUUGAUAAGCCGGUUGUGAAAGCCCCGGGCUCAACCUGGGAACGGCAUUCGGAACUGUCAAGCUAGAGUGCAGGAGAGGAAGGUAGAAUUCCCGGUGUAGCGGUGAAAUGCGUAGAGAUCGGGAGGAAUACCAGUGGCGAAGGCGGCCUUCUGGACUGACACUGACACUGAGGUGCGAAAGCGUGGGUAGCAAACAGGAUUAGAUACCCUAGUAGUC